RNAcentral lists this signal recognition particle RNA (290 nucleotides) under Sinocyclocheilus rhinocerous. RNAcentral's name for it is "Metazoan signal recognition particle RNA (ENSSRHG00000048715.1)". It matches the Rfam family "Metazoan signal recognition particle RNA". From Rfam's summary of the family: The signal recognition particle (SRP) is a universally conserved ribonucleoprotein. It is involved in the co-translational targeting of proteins to membranes. The eukaryotic SRP consists of a 300-nucleotide 7S RNA and six proteins: SRPs 72, 68, 54, 19, 14, and 9. The record is from RNAcentral. Lineage: Eukaryota; Metazoa; Chordata; Actinopteri; Cypriniformes; Cyprinidae.
GCCGGGUUCAGUGGCGCCACCUGUAAUCCAAGCUACUGGGAGGCUGAGGCUGGCGGAUCGCUUGAGCUCAGGGCUUCUUCUGGACUGCAGUGGAUUAUGUCGAUCGGGUGUCCGCACUAAGUUCGGUGUCGAUAUGGUGCUCCUGGGGGAGCUCGGGACCACCAGGUCGUCUAAGGAGGGGUGAACCGGCCCAGGUCGGAGACGGAGCAGGUCAAAGCCCCCGUGUCGAUCAGUAGUGGGAUCGCACCUGUGAAUAGACAGCCUGAGCGAUACAGCGAGACCCAGGCUUU